Molecule: non-coding RNA, 96 nt
Filed under: Carlito syrichta (Philippine tarsier)
Lineage: Eukaryota; Metazoa; Chordata; Mammalia; Primates; Tarsiidae
Source: RNAcentral
GACUCUCCAAAGGCCGUGAAGCCCAAUACACCGAACACAUAUUACAGUUACCAGGUGUAUUUCCCCCUUCUCACUACCGCACUUGACUAGUCCAAA